GGUGGAUGUCCCACCUCUUGAUGUGCUCAAUGCCUGGUUGGAUGGAGCUCUGGACAACUUGGUCUAGUGAAAGGUGUCCCUGUCAAUGGCAGGGAGGUGGAACACAAUGGUCUUUAAGGGUUACUACAGAUUUCAUCCAUGACCUUGAAAAGCAUGCCAUCAAAACUGAUGUUGAAAUCUACACAAUUUUGUGAAACAUUUUGGUAUCAAUGAACUGCUAUUAAAAAACCCAAAAAAAAGAGGACUCUUUCUUGAAAAUGAUUUCUUUCAUCAAGUAGUUUGUUGCAUCUCUGUGAACAUCAGUUCUGCUUCCUUCAGAACUUCAAACAAAUAUUUCCUGCACGUUUACAGGAAACAUAUUAAACACUAUAAAUGGCAACCUGCCUUGCACCUGAUUCAAUAGUUAAAGUGAGGUGUGAGCAACAGAGUGACACAGUGCUCCCCUGGCAUCAUGGCAGUAUUGUCCCAGCUGCUUCUGCUGACCUCUCAAUAUGAAAACAGCUUCAUGCAGGUGUUCUGAUUUUUUGUACCUGUGAAGUCUUAUAAUUGUGAAGUCAUCCAACUUUGAAUUGAUUGUGGAAGAAAUGUGAACAGUUCAUUCUCUGUUGGACGUUGCCAAGAAAUACAACAGCUAAAGUGAGCUUUUCUUAGGAUCUUCUGGCUAGAGGAUGUGGUUGCAUGGAAGUGGUCUCCUGUUGAGCUGGGAUUCCUCCCAGCCUUGUUCCUCAUGGCAGAUGUACCUUUCUACUAAUGUCAGACCUUUGGAUGAGUCCAAUUUGAGUUCUCUCCAAAUUGGAGCUGGAUUGCAUGCCAGAUCCUCUCAGCUGGAGCUGGGAUGCCUGUCAAGAUCUGAGAUUCCUUACCUGAGACUGCAAUCCAUCCUUGCCCAAGGUAGAGAGACCGUCAAGAACAGCACUUGCUGACAGCAUGAUAAAUCAAUGGUAAUGAAACCCAUGCAGCUAAUCUCUUUAGACAUAAACCAUUGACCAAGUCAGUCCAAGAUUGGACUGAGACACAGGCUCCAUGAGAAGUCCAAAACUCAAGGAAGUCGCCUCUGAAGCUUAUGAGCCAAUGGAAGGGUCUCCCUUAUCCUUUAGAAUCUUCAGUCUACCUGUAAAUAUUUUUAAAUGCAUUCUAAUUUGAUUUUGCUUUGCAUGUUUCAUCCAAAUAAUAGAGUGAACCUUGCCAUCAAACUUUGUUACAGUGCAUUUCUGUAUAUUAAAUGGUAUUAUUUCUAGAAAUCCAAUUAUAUGAAAAGAUUUUUUGCUAAUAGUUUUGAUGGUGGUUAUUUAAGCAACCUUAAAUUGUUAAUUUGUGACAUAAAGGAAACAACAGUGAGACCAACAUGCGUGAACUAAAACAGAGUUCAAGAGAAGCUGAAGGAGCUUGUAGGUUCUUGGACAGACAAUGUAGCCAGUAAGCCUCACAUUCUCCUGAACACUAAGACAAAAAUACUAUAUUAUGAAGCUAAAGUUUCCUUUUCUUUUCUUGGUAAACUUUAGUUUGCAUCUACAAUUUUCAGGCGAGAUUUAUCCCAAGGCCUUUUAAUUGUGAUUUAGAGGCUAUUUCUCUUUUUGUUGUUUUUAUUAUU
Non-coding RNA from Zonotrichia albicollis (white-throated sparrow), 1591 nucleotides. NCBI's taxonomy places the organism in Eukaryota, Metazoa, Chordata, Aves, Passeriformes, Passerellidae. The record is from RefSeq and is a predicted model, not a curated record.